RNAcentral lists this ribosomal RNA (253 nucleotides) under uncultured bacterium. RNAcentral's name for it is "partial 16S ribosomal RNA". It matches the Rfam family "Bacterial small subunit ribosomal RNA", at positions 524 to 776 of the family's 1533-position model. The record is from RNAcentral.
UACGGAGGGUGCAAGCGUUAAUCGGAAUUACUGGGCGUAAAGCGCACGCAGGUGGCUGUGUCAGUCGAUUGUGAAAGCCCUGGGCUUAACCUGGGAAUUGCAGUCGAUACUACUCAGCUAGAGUAUGGGAGAGGGUAGUGGAAUUCCCGGUGUAGCGGUGAAAUGCGUAGAUAUCGGGAGGAACAUCAGUGGCGAAGGCGGCUACCUGGCCCAAUACUGACACUCAGGUGCGACAGCGUGGGGAGCAAACAGG